GUAGAGUAGAUGUUAUGCGUAAAGUGUCACAGGAGGGGGAGGCUUUCUGUGAACGAAGGUUCGCCGCGUUAUAAUAUCGCUUCCGCUA
Molecule: non-coding RNA, 88 nt
Filed under: human gut metagenome
Description: THF riboswitch
Rfam family: THF (Tetrahydrofolate) riboswitch aptamer
About the family: THF riboswitch presents a pseudoknot that joins P1-P2 and the loop of P3 and two THF binding.
Source: RNAcentral